GACGAACGCUGGCGGCGUGCUUAACACAUGCAAGUCGAACGGAGUGCCUAUGAAAGAGAUUUCGGUCAAUGGAUUAGGUUACUUAGUGGCGGACGGGUGAGUAACGCGUGAGGAACCUGCCUUUCAGAGGGGGACAACAGUUGGAAACGACUGCUAAUACCGCAUAACAUAUAGCCAUCGCAUGGUGGUUAUAUCAAAGAUUUAUCGCUGAAAGAUGGCCUCGCGUCUGAUUAGCUAGUUGGUGAGGUAACGGCUCACCAAGGCGACGAUCAGUAGCCGGACUGAGAGGUUGGCCGGCCACAUUGGGACUGAGAUACGGCCCAG
RNAcentral lists this ribosomal RNA (324 nucleotides) under uncultured bacterium. RNAcentral describes it as "bacterial SSU rRNA". It matches the Rfam family "Bacterial small subunit ribosomal RNA", at positions 28 to 334 of the family's 1533-position model. The record is from RNAcentral.